GACAGAGGGUGCAAACGUUGUUCGGAAUUACUGGGCGUAAAGCGUGCGCAGGCGGUCUAUUAAGACAGGUGUGAAAUCCCCGGGCUUAACCUGGGAACUGCGCUUGUAACUGAUAGGCUGGAGUGUGGCAGAGGGGGGUGGAAUUCCACGUGUAGCAGUGAAAUGCGUAGAGAUGUGGAGGAACACCGAUGGCGAAGGCAGCCCCCUGGGCUAACACUGACGCUCAUGCACGAAAGCGUGGGGAGCAAACAGG
Molecule: ribosomal RNA, 253 nt
Filed under: uncultured bacterium
Lineage: Bacteria
Description: partial 16S ribosomal RNA
Rfam family: Bacterial small subunit ribosomal RNA
Source: RNAcentral